CAGUCGCCACGGUAAUACGAAGGGUGCAAGCGUUAAUCGGAAUUACUGGGCGUAAAGCGUGCGCAGGCGGUUUGUUAAGACAGAUGUGAAAUCCCCGGGCUCAACCUGGGAACUGCAUUUGUGACUGGCAAGCUAGAGUGUGGCAGAGGGGGGUGGAAUUCCGCGUGUAGCAGUGAAAUGCGUAGAUAUGCGGAGGAACACCGAUGGCGAAGGCAGCCCCCUGGGCCAACACUGACGCUCAUGCACGAAAGCGUGGGGAGCAAACAGGAUUAGAUACCCGUGUAGUCCCUGUCUCUUAUAC
This 301-nucleotide ribosomal RNA is filed under the name uncultured bacterium. Its description in RNAcentral is "partial 16S ribosomal RNA". It matches the Rfam family "Bacterial small subunit ribosomal RNA", at positions 509 to 807 of the family's 1533-position model. The record is from RNAcentral.